This 603-nucleotide long non-coding RNA is filed under the name Vigna radiata. RNAcentral describes it as "long non-coding RNA (VRAD_LNC008911)". The record is from RNAcentral. Lineage: Eukaryota; Viridiplantae; Streptophyta; Magnoliopsida; Fabales; Fabaceae.
AAUUUAUUAGACAUAAAGCACAAACACAUUGUCUUGGCCCAUUUUAGAUAGGCUAGAUUUUGACAUGCAUCGAUCAAACAUUGACAUAUAUUCCUAUGAGGGGACACAAACGUCCUACCUUAAUUUUACGAGUAAUUUUCCCUGCACCUCCUGGAUCUCGUCCUGCACCUCCUAUUUUCCUUUUAAUUCCAACUGUACCCCUAUAUCUCUGACCCUACUAUUCAUUGGGUUUAUAAAAAGUAACUUUAUAGGAAAAACCCUACACCCCCUAUUUUCAGUCUUUCCUUGCCUUGACCAGUCUUCCUCUCCUUCCCUCCCUCCAACCAGUGCAUCCCCCUCCUUCCAACUAGUGCAUCUCUCUGUGCAGUUUCUAUCUUGACGUUGGGCGUGGGCUGUCAACGUAACAGGGUAGCUAGCAGUUCUUCAUCUUUGAAGGUUAGUAUUUCUCCUGUACUCUAGUAGAUCUGGUAGAUCUGGAAAAAUGGGAUGGAUUUUUCUGUAUGUAUGUACAUGAACUGUGCGUGGAGAGGCCGUGAAGGGUUAACCGCAAGUGGUACUGUGGUUAACCCCUGUCGCAGUACGAACAGCGGAUAAGGAUUGCCG